Molecule: long non-coding RNA, 1454 nt
Filed under: Carassius auratus (goldfish)
Lineage: Eukaryota; Metazoa; Chordata; Actinopteri; Cypriniformes; Cyprinidae
Description: lncRNA (ENSCARG00000067683.1)
Source: RNAcentral
UUUCUUAAUUUUUUAUUAAGAUAUUUACAGUACCUGGAAUUUGUGAUUUUUUUUUUGUUUUGUUAUUUUUUAUUUUGCUUGCUGUGGUUAUUGUUGCUGGAAAGUGACAGUGGCAGUGUUUUUUCCACUGCAAUCUAUUGCUUUUCUAUGACUCACCAUCUACAGUGAAAAAAAAAAAAAAAAAAAAAAACAACUUCAAAUAUUCCAAGUGAAAACAUUACCUCUAGAUCAGUGAUUAUUUUUUAUUUAUUUAAAUUUUUAGCGAUAAUGAUGGCCUGUCUAUACAUUAUCCCUUAUAUAUUCCUCUCUGGCAGUGUAUAUAACGAGGAGGUUUGAGAGCAGGUGUUGUUAUCAGGUCUGCAUUGAACACACAGAGAGGGCUGCUGUCUGCCAGUCUCUGAUUGUAAAUGUUCUCUCCUCUCAUUCGGUCUUUCUCUCUGCCUCCCUCUCUCUCUCCUCUGUUCGCCCUUUAAACAGGGAUCUGCUAUGUGUCUUUCCUAUCUCAUCCGGAGAUAAUGCUUUAUGGGACAGACACACACAUGGUAACAGCAGGAGAGUGUGUGAUCUGUCACCGUCAACGCUUCUACAGUACUCUGGCCUGAAGUCAUUUUUUCCACAGGAGAGAAAGGGAAGGGAACACAGCUAAUGGAUGCUUGGUCUAUUACAGUCUGUGUCGUGUGAAAACCAGGACCAUCACUGCAUGUCUGCAACGACACGGCUCUCCUUCAAACUCUAUGCCAAAGUGCCCCGUACCUCUUUUGUCUGCCCACACAGCCUCCCGCUGCCCUCACGGGCAUAUGCUCCUCACACGCUCCGGGGCACCACCAGGUACAGGUGUGGAUGGGGCCAGAAAUGGGCACUGGAUCCUGAAACCAACAGAAGAGCCCUGGAGGGUUUCAUAACAGCCUGAAUCCUCGUGCUCUGACACUCACGCAUCGACUAAAAAAGACUGGCCCCUGCAGUGUGGAGAGGAAAUAAGAGAGAAAUCGCAUCCAACAGGAAGAGGAGAGAGAGGGAAAAAGGAAAACGGAGAUUCACAAAUAACCUUGAUAAAUUUAUGUUCUAAAAUAAUUUUUAGACGUGUGUUUUGAUUGCAAGAAUGUUAAUGUUCCUAAUGUGAUUUGUAGUAUUACAGUGGUGAGUAGUUCUGUAGUAUUUUAUUAAAUAUGUAAAAACUUAUAUCUAGGCUAUACUGUCCACAUUUUUUUUUAUUAUUUUUUACACAAAUGUAACAUUUACAUUACAUUAGAGUAACAUUCAAACAACGCUGCAGUAAUGGUUCUUUACAUUUAACAUCAGGAGUAUUUUCCAUCAGUGUUAUUUUAUAUACUUUGUGUGUGUUUGUGAGAUGCAUUGCUAACUGAAAUGUGAAAAAUAUAAAUAUUAUACAAAUAUUAUAUUUUAUGUACUGAGAAUUAUUUAGAUUUGUUUUAAAUUAUUUAUAUACUGUUAUA